GAUGAAGAACGCAGCGAAAUGCGAUAAGUAAUGUGAAUUGCAGAAUUCAGUGAAUCAUCGAAUCUUUGAACGCACAUUGUGCCCCCCAGUAUUCUGGCGGGCAUGCCUGUUCGAGCGUCAUUUCAACCAUCAAGCCCUGCUUGUGUUGGGGUCCUGCGGCUGCCCGCAGGCCCUGAAAACCAGUGGCGGGCUCGCUAGUCACACCGAGCGCAGUAGCACAUCUCGCUCAGGGCGUGCGGCGGGCUCCAGCCGUUAAAGCACCCACCUUUCGCAAGGUUGACCUCGGAUCGGGUAGGAAUACCCGCUGAACUUAAGCAUAUCAAUAAGCGGAGGA
This 334-nucleotide unclassified non-coding RNA is filed under the name soil metagenome. RNAcentral describes it as "partial contains 5.8S ribosomal RNA, internal transcribed spacer 2, and large subunit ribosomal RNA". The stretch from base 1 to 120 matches the Rfam family "5.8S ribosomal RNA", at positions 35 to 154 of the family's 154-position model. The record is from RNAcentral.